CGCAGCUACCUCUCAUAUCCCAUUCUACAGGCAUUAAUAACAAUUUAGGGUAAGCGCCGAUGACCGCACAUUACGGGCCGGAGAUGAACUGCGAGCCUGAAGGAAAAGUAUUGACAGGCGGAUAAAUGGCCUUCGGUUUUAUUCCUUCUGUAAGUAAUAGCGUAACUAAUACUUCGGGUAAAAACAAACCAUCCAUCUUCUUUAUUGGAUUAGGAGCGGACUGAAAGUAACACGGCUCUGGGUCCCUUCCAAUACAAGUGACAAGCUGCGGAACCGGAGGAUUGUACAGCACAGUGCACACUGCAGGGUUCCAGCAGGUCCUGGGGAUUAUUGCUGAGUCUGGAGCCUUCCAUGAUUCUCAUCAGCAGUGCAGACGGAAGAAGCCAUCAAACACUUCGCUAUUAAUUGUGCUGGAUGAUUCUAGUAAAUAUCCUGUUGAUGCUGAAGUGCCAGGUUUUUAUUUUGCGACGCAGGACAACGACCCCAGACAUACAGCCAAAGAACUAUCUUCCAAGAAGGCCUGGAAGUGAUGAUAUGGCCCCAAUGAUCCCUGAUCUCAACACCAUCCAGUCUGUCUGGGAUAACAUGGAAAGACAGAAGGUCUUGAGCAAGCCUACAUCCACAGAAGAUCAGUGGUUAGUUGUUCUCCAAGAUGUCUGAAGCAACCUCCCUGCUGCCUUCAAAGACUUUCUGCAAAUAUAUCCAGAAGAGCUGAUGCUGAAGGCAAAGGGCGGUCAGACCAGAUAUUGAAUGAAUUUAGAUUUCUCUUUUCUUCAUUCACUUUGGAUUCAAACUGAUAAACUAUUAACGCUUCUAUUUUAAAACAUUCUUACUUUGUAGCAUUGUUCCCACAUCUGACUAAAGCUUUUGCACAGUACUGUAUUCUAUACCUCCAGUGGUACCUAUUAUACCUCAUCUGGCCAAGCUGUGGCGGAAAGAGUAAUCAGCUCAGUUAAUUUAUCAGUCAUUAUCAUCAUUUCUAGAGAUAUCUGAUUAGCUUCCUU
Molecule: long non-coding RNA, 1004 nt
Organism: Bufo gargarizans (Asiatic toad)
Lineage: Eukaryota; Metazoa; Chordata; Amphibia; Anura; Bufonidae
Exons: 3
Source: RefSeq, a predicted model, not a curated record